Molecule: unclassified non-coding RNA, 302 nt
Filed under: uncultured fungus
Lineage: Eukaryota; Fungi
Description: partial contains small subunit ribosomal RNA, internal transcribed spacer 1, and 5.8S ribosomal RNA
Rfam family: Eukaryotic small subunit ribosomal RNA (bases 1-73)
Source: RNAcentral
GCAAACUUGGUCAUUUAGAGGAAGUAAAAGUCGUAACAAGGUUUCCGUAGGUGAACCUGCGGAAGGAUCAUUACAAAUCCACUGAUAUAUGACAACGUUGAACAAAGGGGGGGGGGUAGUGCUAGGGUGUUGUUGCUGCUGACGCUGCUGAUACAGCUGCUGACGCGCACUCACGCCCGCACGCCCGCCCACAUAAGACAAACUACUGUUAUCACAAUGCACAACCUAUAUCAAACGACAACAACCUAGAAACAACUUACAACAAUGGAUCUCUAGGCUCUUGCAUCGAUGAAGAACGCAGC